ACCCAGUUGAGUCAAGUGUCUUCAUCUAGCCUAAGUGGAAGUAGAUAUGGGCCACGGUCAUUUUUUCUUUUGCCCUCUUACCAGCUCAACCCUGAGGCAGGCCUUGUCUGUACAAGCCUUCUUCACAGCCCCUCCCUAACUGUUCCACAGUGAUCUCCAGGUAGAGUUGAAGAAGUCUUGGAAAAGCCACUGUCCUCAGGGCUGGAGGUCACUGUGGGGUCAGAUUGAUUCUCUAGGCAGCAUACUGGCUCCAGACUGAUACUAAGCUCAGAGUUCUCUUGUGAAAUAUGCAUGCACACCAAACAUGAGCAUUUGCUAACCCAUGCAAAGAAAUUCAUGGUUAACCUAGAGUCAUGGUCUAGUCUGGUACAUCUGUACACCUGAACAUUCAAAUGGUCAGGAAAGCUUCGAGUACCUUUCCUAUGAGAAGGGAUUGGAUCCUCAGUGACCUUCAGGAAAUCCCUAGGAGAGUCAAGCUGUGGCUUGUUUGCACUCCAAGUGUCUGGCCUGGCUUCUGCUGAGGUGAAGUAGCAAAGCCUAGGCUCCAACCUGCAGCCCACACCACAUCCAUGGUCCUCACUUUGCCCAAGAAGCCAACAUGUUGGGAGGUUUUGGUGAGUGAGUUUAGCCAGCAGCCAGCACUCCAAGGCUCUUCUCGUGCAGCCCAGCACAGCCUGGUUGUGUGGACGUGCAGUCCUGCGGGUGUCCUACCUGUCCCCCACAUGGGAGCCUCGUCAUCUUGCCUUCUGUCCCAGCCCAGUUUCCCCCGCCCCCCAGGGCCCGAGAGCUGCUUUCCUGUUUCAUUUUGGGCAGGAAGAGUGAGGUCGUGUUGUUCUUCCCCCUGCUGCCGGCUCAGGCUGUGGGAACAGUUCCCUGAGUGCUUUCCUGUUUGAUACCCUGUGUGUGCAGUGAAGGGAAUGGGGAGCGAUGAGCAAGGCAUGAAGCUUGUGCAUGCUCCUGAAACUGGCACAAACACCAAGGUCCAGGGUCAGGGGAGGAGAAAAGGGGAGGCAAGUUCACUGUGUAUACUUGCACUCCACAAGGAGUGAGGUAUUUG
RNAcentral lists this long non-coding RNA (1057 nucleotides) under Marmota monax (woodchuck). The record is from RNAcentral. Lineage: Eukaryota; Metazoa; Chordata; Mammalia; Rodentia; Sciuridae.